AGGUGUAUGUGGCAUUUGAGAGGAGUCUUUAAGUGAAUCUUGGAUUAGUAUUCCAUUAAAGCAAGUGUUGGUAUAUCCUUACUAUAUUCGAGGACAUUAUGAUGUUUAGAUUUCCUUAUUUGAAUGAUGUCAAGGGGCUUCUACAAGACCUCCGAGAGAUCAAACGCUUAUAACCAGGUCAGCACGCAACGCUUCAUUGAUCCAGUUUGAGCUCCACAGUCAUUGGUGAUCCUCUUGUAUUUCGAAGGAUUCUUUUAUUGCUUUCUAGUUAGCUCAAUAGAAUGUCGUGGGGUUUGUCCCAACAUUUAUCUCAGUCAAUUUAGAGGCUUCAUAGACAGAUAGUUAGUUAGAUUGUUUAGUUUGAUGUCUCUUUUAUCUUACAUUUUAGAUGCUCUAGCAUUGAUACUCAAGUGCCAUUUUGGCUAGAUUAUUAUAUUUUAAGU
Molecule: non-coding RNA, 443 nt
Organism: Solanum lycopersicum (tomato)
Lineage: Eukaryota; Viridiplantae; Streptophyta; Magnoliopsida; Solanales; Solanaceae
Source: RefSeq, a predicted model, not a curated record